This 483-nucleotide ribosomal RNA is filed under the name uncultured bacterium. Its description in RNAcentral is "partial 16S ribosomal RNA". It matches the Rfam family "Bacterial small subunit ribosomal RNA", at positions 28 to 506 of the family's 1533-position model. The record is from RNAcentral.
AUUGAACGCUGGCGGCAUGCUUUACACAUGCAAGUCGAACGGCAGCGCGGGCUUCGGCCUGGCGGCGAGUGGCGAACGGGUGAGUAAUGCAUCGGAACGUGCCCAGUAGUGGGGGAUAGCCCGGCGAAAGCCGGAUUAAUACCGCAUACGACCUGAGGGUGAAAGCGGGGGACCGAAAGGCCUCGCGCUAUUGGAUCGGCCGAGGUCGGGAUGGCUAGUUGGUGGGGUAAAGGGUUACCAAGGCGAUGAUCCGUCGCUGGUCUGAGAGGACGACCAGCCACGCUGGAACGGAGCCACGGCCCAGACCCCUACGGGAGGCAGGAGUGGGGAAUUUUGGACAAUGGGGGCAACCGUGAUCCAGCCAUGCGGCGUGCGGGAAGAAGGCCUUCGGGUUGUAAACCGAUUUUGUUCGGGAAGAAAUCCUCUGGGCUAACACCCCGGGGGGAUGACGGAACCGGAAGAAUAAGCACCGGUUAACUAGGU